Molecule: ribosomal RNA, 2904 nt
Filed under: Escherichia coli
Lineage: Bacteria; Pseudomonadati; Pseudomonadota; Gammaproteobacteria; Enterobacterales; Enterobacteriaceae
Description: 23S ribosomal RNA
Rfam family: Bacterial large subunit ribosomal RNA
Source: RNAcentral
GGUUAAGCGACUAAGCGUACACGGUGGAUGCCCUGGCAGUCAGAGGCGAUGAAGGACGUGCUAAUCUGCGAUAAGCGUCGGUAAGGUGAUAUGAACCGUUAUAACCGGCGAUUUCCGAAUGGGGAAACCCAGUGUGUUUCGACACACUAUCAUUAACUGAAUCCAUAGGUUAAUGAGGCGAACCGGGGGAACUGAAACAUCUAAGUACCCCGAGGAAAAGAAAUCAACCGAGAUUCCCCCAGUAGCGGCGAGCGAACGGGGAGCAGCCCAGAGCCUGAAUCAGUGUGUGUGUUAGUGGAAGCGUCUGGAAAGGCGCGCGAUACAGGGUGACAGCCCCGUACACAAAAAUGCACAUGCUGUGAGCUCGAUGAGUAGGGCGGGACACGUGGUAUCCUGUCUGAAUAUGGGGGGACCAUCCUCCAAGGCUAAAUACUCCUGACUGACCGAUAGUGAACCAGUACCGUGAGGGAAAGGCGAAAAGAACCCCGGCGAGGGGAGUGAAAAAGAACCUGAAACCGUGUACGUACAAGCAGUGGGAGCACGCUUAGGCGUGUGACUGCGUACCUUUUGUAUAAUGGGUCAGCGACUUAUAUUCUGUAGCAAGGUUAACCGAAUAGGGGAGCCGAAGGGAAACCGAGUCUUAACUGGGCGUUAAGUUGCAGGGUAUAGACCCGAAACCCGGUGAUCUAGCCAUGGGCAGGUUGAAGGUUGGGUAACACUAACUGGAGGACCGAACCGACUAAUGUUGAAAAAUUAGCGGAUGACUUGUGGCUGGGGGUGAAAGGCCAAUCAAACCGGGAGAUAGCUGGUUCUCCCCGAAAGCUAUUUAGGUAGCGCCUCGUGAAUUCAUCUCCGGGGGUAGAGCACUGUUUCGGCAAGGGGGUCAUCCCGACUUACCAACCCGAUGCAAACUGCGAAUACCGGAGAAUGUUAUCACGGGAGACACACGGCGGGUGCUAACGUCCGUCGUGAAGAGGGAAACAACCCAGACCGCCAGCUAAGGUCCCAAAGUCAUGGUUAAGUGGGAAACGAUGUGGGAAGGCCCAGACAGCCAGGAUGUUGGCUUAGAAGCAGCCAUCAUUUAAAGAAAGCGUAAUAGCUCACUGGUCGAGUCGGCCUGCGCGGAAGAUGUAACGGGGCUAAACCAUGCACCGAAGCUGCGGCAGCGACGCUGAUGCGUUGUUGGGUAGGGGAGCGUUCUGUAAGCCUGCGAAGGUGUGCUGUGAGGCAUGCUGGAGGUAUCAGAAGUGCGAAUGCUGACAUAAGUAACGAUAAAGCGGGUGAAAAGCCCGCUCGCCGGAAGACCAAGGGUUCCUGUCCAACGUUAAUCGGGGCAGGGUGAGUCGACCCCUAAGGCGAGGCCGAAAGGCGUAGUCGAUGGGAAACAGGUUAAUAUUCCUGUACUUGGUGUUACUGCGAAGGGGGGACGGAGAAGGCUAUGUUGGCCGGGCGACGGUUGUCCCGGUUUAAGCGUGUAGGCUGGUUUUCCAGGCAAAUCCGGAAAAUCAAGGCUGAGGCGUGAUGACGAGGCACUACGGUGCUGAAGCAACAAAUGCCCUGCUUCCAGGAAAAGCCUCUAAGCAUCAGGUAACAUCAAAUCGUACCCCAAACCGACACAGGUGGUCAGGUAGAGAAUACCAAGGCGCUUGAGAGAACUCGGGUGAAGGAACUAGGCAAAAUGGUGCCGUAACUUCGGGAGAAGGCACGCUGAUAUGUAGGUGAAGUCCCUUGCGGAUGGAGCUGAAAUCAGUCGAAGAUACCAGCUGGCUGCAACUGUUUAUUAAAAACACAGCACUGUGCAAACACGAAAGUGGACGUAUACGGUGUGACGCCUGCCCGGUGCCGGAAGGUUAAUUGAUGGGGUUAGCGCAAGCGAAGCUCUUGAUCGAAGCCCCGGUAAACGGCGGCCGUAACUAUAACGGUCCUAAGGUAGCGAAAUUCCUUGUCGGGUAAGUUCCGACCUGCACGAAUGGCGUAAUGAUGGCCAGGCUGUCUCCACCCGAGACUCAGUGAAAUUGAACUCGCUGUGAAGAUGCAGUGUACCCGCGGCAAGACGGAAAGACCCCGUGAACCUUUACUAUAGCUUGACACUGAACAUUGAGCCUUGAUGUGUAGGAUAGGUGGGAGGCUUAGAAGUGUGGACGCCAGUCUGCAUGGAGCCGACCUUGAAAUACCACCCUUUAAUGUUUGAUGUUCUAACGUUGACCCGUAAUCCGGGUUGCGGACAGUGUCUGGUGGGUAGUUUGACUGGGGCGGUCUCCUCCUAAAGAGUAACGGAGGAGCACGAAGGUUGGCUAAUCCUGGUCGGACAUCAGGAGGUUAGUGCAAUGGCAUAAGCCAGCUUGACUGCGAGCGUGACGGCGCGAGCAGGUGCGAAAGCAGGUCAUAGUGAUCCGGUGGUUCUGAAUGGAAGGGCCAUCGCUCAACGGAUAAAAGGUACUCCGGGGAUAACAGGCUGAUACCGCCCAAGAGUUCAUAUCGACGGCGGUGUUUGGCACCUCGAUGUCGGCUCAUCACAUCCUGGGGCUGAAGUAGGUCCCAAGGGUAUGGCUGUUCGCCAUUUAAAGUGGUACGCGAGCUGGGUUUAGAACGUCGUGAGACAGUUCGGUCCCUAUCUGCCGUGGGCGCUGGAGAACUGAGGGGGGCUGCUCCUAGUACGAGAGGACCGGAGUGGACGCAUCACUGGUGUUCGGGUUGUCAUGCCAAUGGCACUGCCCGGUAGCUAAAUGCGGAAGAGAUAAGUGCUGAAAGCAUCUAAGCACGAAACUUGCCCCGAGAUGAGUUCUCCCUGACUCCUUGAGAGUCCUGAAGGAACGUUGAAGACGACGACGUUGAUAGGCCGGGUGUGUAAGCGCAGCGAUGCGUUGAGCUAACCGGUACUAAUGAACCGUGAGGCUUAACCUU